Non-coding RNA from Equus caballus (horse), 72 nucleotides. NCBI's taxonomy places the organism in Eukaryota, Metazoa, Chordata, Mammalia, Perissodactyla, Equidae. The record is from Rfam.
GGGGGCGUGGCUCAAGGCUAGAGCCCUUGGCUGCAGGUCCAGAUGUCCCCGGUUCAAUCCCAGGUGCCCCCU